UGGGGAAUAUUGGACAAUGGGGGCAACCCUGAUCCAGCAAUGCCGCGUGUGUGAAGAAGGUCUUCGGAUUGUAAAGCACUUUCGACGGGGACGAUGAUGACGGUACCCGUAGAAGAAGCCCCGGCUAACUUCGUGCCAGCAGCCGCGGUAAUACGAAGGGGGCUAGCGUUGCUCGGAAUGACUGGGCGUAAAGGGCGUGUAGGCGGUUUACACAGUCAGAUGUGAAAUCCCCGGGCUUAACCUGGGAGCUGC
Molecule: ribosomal RNA, 252 nt
Filed under: uncultured bacterium
Lineage: Bacteria
Description: partial 16S ribosomal RNA
Rfam family: Bacterial small subunit ribosomal RNA
Source: RNAcentral